CAGAACAGUAAAAUUUUGAACCUUUUCUUAAAUAAAACAUCAUUUAUUUAUAUAACUAAUAGACACAAACAAAGAUCGAAUUUAAAACUUAUAAAAGUAAACUUCCAUAAGAUGCCAUAUUCACAUGGCUUAUAUACAAUAGUCAAAAUAUCAUUCUACUUAUCGUCUAUCCUAUACAUGCCAUAAGCUAAGUCCAAAUCACAUGAUUACUACAAUAGUAGAUAGUGUGACGAAGUGCUGACGAUCCCCGAGCUAAUAGUAAGAGUCAACGAUCUACAAAAAUAAACAGAGAAACAUAACAUUCAAAGUAAGCUUUCAUAAGCUUAGUAAGUCUUAAGCAAUUUAAACAGUUGAACUUAAAAACAAACCAAAUGUUCGAAAUCACAUAACACUUUCUGAGUACAAUACUAUUUGGCUGAUUAUGCAUAAACACAUAUCAUUUUACUCCGUUUAUACUCAAACUCAUAUAAACAUAGUAUUUACAAGCUUCCGGAUUAACUUUAAUUCUUUCAAAUUUCACUAGUGUAUCAUUUCUUACCUACACUUACUUUCAACAUUCAUAGUUAAAUGGCAUAUCGAAAACUAUCUUGUAACUUUGCAUAAUAACUGAAUGCACACAUAUACAAAUAUACAUAUGAAUUUACAACAUCUUUUCAUAUGCUUCUCAUUACACAUUCUUAAUUCCCGUCAGAUCAAUCUCACAUAUACUAUAUAUAUAUCACAUACCUGAAUCACUUAAUGUGUAAUAUGAGUUCAAUUUAUCAUCUUAGCAUAGGAUCUCGUAGUCAUAUACUUUAUCAAAUUCACUAACACUUGGCCUUCGAGGUAUAAAACCCGAACAUAACACCAGCACGAAGUCUACAGGACUUUAAACUCAGAUAUAAUACCAGCACUAGGCUUGCGGGAUUUAACCCGGAUAUAAUUCCAGCAUUGUGGGAUUUAACUCGGAUAUAAUACCAGCACGAAGCCUGCGGGAUUUAACCUGGAUAUAUUACCAGCACGAAGCCUGCGGGAUUUAACCCGGAUAUAAUUCCAGCAUAUACCCUGCGGGUCUUUAAGCCCGGAUACACAUCAAAUAUCAUGCAUAUUUAAUCAUAUAUUAACACAUCUCAUUCAACAUAUCACAUUAGUAGUCAUUUGCUACAUUUGGAUAUAAGCUCCAUAUGAACACCAUCAUUUACAUUUCGGUUCAAAAGUCAUACAUAAAUAUCACAUAUCCAUUUCACCAUUCAAACUUAACCCAUAGUGACUAUUCGACUAUAAGUCAUAUACAUAAAUUAUUUAUCGCACAACUUAAUUCAAGUAGAACCAAAAGGUCACAAUUCACCUAAUAUAUACAUAUUGCUCACCGAUACGCACACAACCUUUCAGAUUAGCAAUUAUAAAUUGGUUCCGUACAUAGCCCAUCCUUAUCGAUAAUUUACGAUGGUUUUACCCUUACUCGCAUAUAUGACAUAGGCAUUUUUACCUAUGCUUCUCAAUUCACAUUCAUGAUUCAAUUCCAGUCGAUUUAACAUGCAUAAAUACAUAUCGCAUACCUGACCAACUUAAUGUAUUGAAUGAAAUCGAUUGUCGAUUUAACACUAGGUCUCAUAGUUGAACAUAAACAUGAAACCAUUUCUUAUAUGUUCGAUUCACAUCAAUCAUCAAAUUCAUUUAAUUCACAUGUACUUAAUUAGGUUGUUCGUACCUGAAUAAUUUACUUUACGGAACGAAUCCACAUAUCGUAUUAGCCCAUAGUCUUAAAGCACCACACUUUUAACAGUUUACCUCAUCGAAGUUCAUAUUUAAUCAUUUUAAUGCCAAGCCAUAUUUGGCUACCACAAAGGACUAAUAAUAAUAAUUUUAUACACAUCAUGGUUUCCUUUAGAUAUUUAAUAAUCACAAAUCGUGAUAUCUCUACCAAAACAUAUACGGCAUACUUUAUUCAUUGUAACACUCAUUUAGUGCAUCAAAUUUCCAAAUCCAAUUCAACUUAAGCAUAAUAGCCAUAAUCGGGUUAUAGCCUUAAAUCAUUACAUAUUCGACACAUUAACUAAAUAAAAUUUACAUUCUCUUUGCCGUAUUAAUUUAACUCUUAGGCAUAUAAAAAGGAAUCAAGCUUAAACACUUAAGAACUUACCUCGAAUGUUUCCGAACGAUUAUAACGGCUAUUCGAUUACUUUCUUUUUUCCCUUAUCCGAAUUUGUCCCUCUAUGCUCUUGAGCUUAAAUUCAAAGAUUUUAAACUAGUCAUUAUUCGACUAUUCAAGCAUCACUUUAUAAAUAUAAUAUAUAUAUUCGAAUUUCACACUUACUGAUCAUAGUAAGCUUAUAAGAAAUCAAUAAGCAACUCAUUAACAAAUUUUUGUCAAUGUUUACCACAUAAUCAUAAUUUCACUGCAAGUUGUCUUCCUGAGCAACAGUCACUAAAUCAUUUAUAACUGGAGCUACGAAACUCCAAAUCAUGUGCUGUUAAUUUUACUUGAAAAUAGACUCAUAUAUCUUUUAUCCAUAAAAUUUUAGGAAUUUUUGGUUUGGAAAAUCAAUACCAUAUUUUUCUUAAAGUUUCCCUUGUUUCACUGUUUGACUAAUCUAACCAUUCUUCACUACGAAUCAAAUUUCUCAUUGUACAGAAUUAAAAAUAUGUUCUCGUUUAUUUCAUUUGAAACUAGACUAAUUAAGGAGGCUAAGCAUAUGAACUUCAUCUUAUAACCAUUUUUUUACAAUUUAUAAUGAUUUUAUAAAAACAGAACAGGGGAUCUAGAAGUCAUUUUGACCCUAUCCCACAUCACUUCAAAUAUCUUAUUAUCGGAAAUUAUUUUUCUUACAUGGUUUCUUUUAUAAGAAACUAGACUCAUUAAGCUUUAAUUACAUAAUUUAUUCAGCUUCUAAAUCAUCUCCCACAAUUUAUGGUAAUUUUCCAAAAUCACAUUACUGCUGCUGUCCUAAGCAGAUUUAUUACCAAUUCACUCUUUCACACAUAACUUGCAUUCAUAUUAUUUAAACAUGUAUAUCACCAAUCAAUUUCAUCACAAUUUCACUUAAGCAUAAUAUCAAUACAAUACAUCAUGCUCAAAUCAUUAUUCAAGUUCAAAUUCGGCUAGCACACAUAUACAUACUAGCAAUUAAGUAUUAACAUUGCAUUUUAUACUAUAACCGAAUGUAUAACUCAUCGAAAUAUAUUUAUUCAUGUUCCCUUAACACAUAUUGGUCAACUAGAUCAUGCAUUAUUCUUUGGCACAUUUGAUCAUUAAAGCAAUCACCUAUUUAACUUUCAAGCAUUUUUAUAUUAACAUUUCCCCCAGGGCCGAAUUCAUAUACAACCUUUAGUACUCAUUCAAACUUUAUAUUUUAAGUAAUUUAUAUACACAACAUUAACCAAAUAUCCAUUUACUAAGCAUUUUAAUAAAUUUUUCUUCAACUAUCCACACAUUCGGAAAUCACAUAAUCAAACACUAAACCUUAACUUCCAAGCCAAAACAACUAGCAAACUCAACACAUCCAACAUAAAUUUCCAUACUAAUGACAUCAAAACAACUACUAAGAAUUUCAAGCUCCUUGGUCAAAUUUCAAUCUUCCAAAAUAACAAAAAUUUGAACCAUGAAAUAGGUAGAAUUCAAACUGACCAUUCAAUUUAUGCAUGAAUUUCCAAGAGUAGCAUUGUACAUACCUUAAUCUAGCAAUCUCCUUAGCCGAAAAUUUUAACAACAAAAGGAAAUUUCUUCUCCCCCCUUUCCUAGCUACGGCAAUGGAGGAAUAAAGAUGAACCAACUUUGGUUUCUCCUCCCACUAACACGUUAUUUUUAUUACCCAUACUCUUUUAUUCAUCUUUAAUUCAUUUAAUACAUUUUUUAUUACAUAUUUCUCACCACUAAUAAAUAUAAUAAUAUUAAACCAUGCAUAUACUGCCCAUACUUAUGAGCUUGGCCGGCCACUAGCAUUAAAAGUGGCAAAUUGACAUGCAAACCCACUUAUUUGCAUCAUUCAAUAAUUAAUCACUUAAAAUAAGCCACACAUAUAUUCAAAGCUUCUCACAUAAGUCCUUUUUAUUUAGAAACACAUUCAAAUUGACAAAAAUCAAAGCAUUCAAAUUUCACACAUGCAUGAUCACAUAUUUUAGACAUAAAAUAUUAUAUUCAAUUAUUUCUGCGACUCGGUUUAGCUGUCCCGAAACCACUUCCCGACUAGGGUCAAAAUAGGGUUGUCACAAUAAGUGAUAAAAGCGCGAGUUUCAGUCGGUAUGGUGAAUUAUUUAUUUGAAAGAUUUCAUGUGACAAUUAUGUCAGGAUUAUUUUUAUCAAGUCUGAUAAUAGAAUUUCAUUUUUGUACUGAUAAAAUAGUAAAUAGUCUGAACGAGAAGUGUAUAUUUAUUAGAAAGAGUUGGAUAUUAGUUAAAGUCACUACGAAUGAUAAGGUUUUCGUCUUGUGAAAGCAGAAAAGUUUAUUGCAUAUUGACAGAGUUCGGAUAGAUGAGAAUAUUGGUAACCGAAGCGUCUGAACUAGACUAGUCUACAUUGAGCAAAGACUUCCUGACUUUUAGUAAUGUACUGUUGUAUGAAUUGUGAUGUGUUUUAAGACAGUGAGGUAAUGUGAUAGUUUAGAGCAUUCGAUGUUACAUAAAAUCUGAGUUGGUAAAGAGGUUAAAGCCGAGCAUUAGGAUCUAUCAAAAUUAUCCUUUCUAGUGUUGAUAUUGGGAUGGAAAUGAGAAGGAUUAUUCUUGAGGCCAUAUCAGAAUUAUUUCCAUGGCAGAAAGAGGAAAAUGUGAUGUAUCCUAUUGUUAAAUGUUUGGCGAGAUCUAUAAAUCAUAUCGGUAUUGAAUGAAUUCCUACUCAUCAGAUUCAUGGAAUUUCAGGUCUCUUUGAUUGUUGGAUUUCUUGGAAUUCCGGUCUCCAUUAAAUCGAGUUGAGAUCCGGGUUUUAUGUCAUGAUAUCAUGGGAAACUGAGAAGGGUUGAAAAUUUAAGAACAGUUGAGAGUUGAAACUGUAAGCUUUUAGAUCAUAUGAGAAAUUAAAGAGAUGUAUUGGAGGUACAGCCUAAGUGAAAGUUCUUCGGCACUGAAUAUGAGAUUAAAAGUGAAGACCACUUUUCCGGUAAGAUUUUCGGGGACGAAAAUACCUAAAGGGGGGAGAGUUAUAAUAUCCUGAUUUUGGGCCUAGUCGGAAUGGUGGUUUCAAGGCCACAAAUCUGAGAUAGAAAUAAUUAUUUUAUAAUUAUUUUUAGGUCUAUGAUAUGAUUGCAUGAUUGCGUGAAAAUUUUGUGAAGAAAUUCUAUGCAUAAAGUGCUUAAUUUGAAAUUAGGGACUAAAUUGAAUAAAUUGCAAAACUUGUGUUCUAGAAGCAUUUUGCAUAAGAUUGAAUUACAUUAUUAAUUAUAGGUCCUUAAAGAGUAAGUUGACCAAUUUCUCAAAAAAUUUUGGACAAAAAUGGGUUUGGAAGGGUAAAAUUUUAAAGAAUAGUAAAAAGGGCAUUUUGGUCAUUUAGGGGUAAAAUGAAUUAAAAGACAAAUUUUAAAACCCAAAUGUGUCCAUCUUCAAACCCAUGGCCGAAUAUAGCAAGGAUAAACCAUGUCUAGGGUUUUUCAAGCUUCCAAGCUCGAUUGUAAGUCCGUUCUAGCCUCAUUUUUAAUGUUUUUUUACGUUUUUGGAGUCCCGGUAACUUGAUUUAGCUUAUGCUAGCAAUAAUUUAACCUAGGGUUUAUAUUUGGAAAAAUACCCGUAGGUGAAAUUUGUGUAUUUUGGUGUUUUAUGAUAGAAUAUGAGGUUUUAAAUUAUGUUAGACAACUUGUGCUACUCGGUUUUAAGUGAAAACGAGCAAAAGGGUUUAAUCGGUAAAAAUACCUAAUAGUCAUAAGUACAUGUUAGAGUGAGAAUUUGAUGUUGCCAUAGAAGGGAAAAAUGAUCAGCAUGUCAUAAAACAUAAGAAAAUAGGCUGAAGUUUAAUUUACGAGCUUUUAGGCAAAAGUGUAAAUAUGCAAAAGUUUAGGUGCAAAAGUGUAAUUUUUCCAAAAUAUGAUUUUGGGUCAAUUUGAAUAAUGUGAGUCCUAAUUAGACUAUAUUUUAAAUAAUAGAGCAAGGAAAACAGAAAUUCAGGCUAAAAUGGGAAAAAUACCAAGUUAUGGACGAAAUGGUAAAAGUAGCCAUUUUCGCAUACGAGGUAAGUUCAUAUGUAAAUGUUCGUAACAUAGUUAUUAUUUUAAAUGUUUUAAUGUUAUUUAAAUGAUAUGAUAAUUAUUAUGAAAUAUUAUACUUGUGAUAAUUGUUUGAUAAUAUGUCAAAUUAUGUGAUAUACUUGGAAAAUGUGAAAUACUACCGAGUAUCGGUAUCAGCAUUUCGUAGAAGAUGGUUGAGACACAUGAUUGGGAAAAAGGUCCCGUUGAACCUUAGGAAUGGAUUAGGAUACAUGUGACAUGUCACUAAGAUAUUUGGGCAUCUGAACUCGUUGAGUUGAGUCCGAGUUCGAGAGAUGUAACUAGGCAUCCAAGCUCGUUGAGUUGAGUCCGAGUUCACUUAUGGAUGCGAACUCCCGAGCUCGUUGAGUUGAGUCCGAGUUCACUUAUGGGCGGGUUACAUGGUAGCUUGGCUACAUAUGUGGCACUUAUGUGCAAACUUUCCAUGUAUCCGAACUAUAUUCUGAUGUGUUCAACGGGUAAAAUUCUACUCAAAUGGAGGAAUACUCGAGAUGAAAGGGACGUAUUGGUAAGUGUUGUGAAAUGGAUACUUUGAACAGGUAUGUACUUAACCCUCAGGUUGAAAACACGAUAUAACAACAAUAUCGUAAGAUGAUAAAUGAAAAUAUGAUAUGAAUGUCUUGGUGAUGAUUAUGCAAAUGAUGUUUUAUGUUUGCUUAUAUGGUUAUGUUACUUGCUAUUUGAAUGUGAACUUACUAAGAAUUUAUGCUUACUCCCUCCUUUUCAUUCCUUGUAGUUUUGACAAGCCAGCUCAAAAGUCGGGAACGGUCGGAGGCUCGCUCACACUAUCCGUGUAUCAUCUUGGCAUAAUGGCUUGUAUAUUUUGAGCAUGGCAUGUAUAGCAUUAUAAUCAUUUUGUGUAUAUGGUCUUAUGAUAUGGUUAUUGAGUGGUAUGAAAAUGCUUGGUAAUGAUUAGCCAUUGGAAUGGCUAAUCAUGAUCAUAUUUGGUGUUAUGUAUGCUAAAUUGCUAGCUAAUCCAUGGAAACCAUGAAAUAGGUAAAAUUUACCAUAAAAUAGAUUCAGACAACAGUAGUGACGUGAGUUUGAAAAAUCAUUAAAAAUAGUAGAGAUAUACUUAGAUGAUGAAUAAAAUAUGGAAUUGAAUAAUUAUGAGUCUAUUUUCAUAUGGAUGCAACAAAAUAGGUAUAUUAGUUAUAUUUUAUGAGAUGUUUAAAUUUUUGUGAAACAGGGCCAGAGCAAUUUCUGGAUCCCCUGUUCUGACUUUAAUAAUUAAUCAUAAAUUUUAAAAAAAUAAUUAGAAGUCAUUCUUUAUGUGUACAGAUUCCUUAUUGAGUCUUGUUUUAUUAGAAAUAAACGUCAUAGUCAUUGAAACUCUUUACAGGGAGAUAUCUGAUUCGUAAUACACAGAGGUCAGAGCAGUCGAACCCUGAAACAGGGGAGAAUUUAACUAAUAAACUGUACUAAUUGGCUUGACAAAAAAUUCUAGGAAAAAAUUUGUAAAUAUAUAUAUGAGUCUAGUUUCAGGAAACAUUUACAGAAUUAGAUUUCGAGUUUCAGAACUCGAGAUAUGAAUUUUUAAACAAAUGUAACGCAGAUUGCUAACUUGACUGGAAAUUUUAAAAAUAAAUUGCUUGAGCUGUUUAAGUAAUGAAUUAAGUCUGUUAACACCUUAUUUUCAACUCCGGCGACAGUCUCGGGUACGGGACGUUACACAAUUAAUACUUGAAAGCCCAGUUAACCAGAACCCUUUUUUUUCUUAUGGAACUAAAAUUAACUAAAAUUACCGAGUUUUAACCUAAGCUUGGGCCUUCUAGAGGCCCACUAACAUAAUUAAACCUACACCAAAUAGACAGAACAGAGAAAUUUUAAAUUUUUGCCAACAUACACAGAAUUCCCGAAAAUUGGGGCGUUACAACUCUACCCUCCUUAAAGAUAUUUCGUCCUCAAAAUUUACCUGAUCAAACAGAUGAGGGUAUUGCUGUUGCAUCGCCUCUUCUGGCUCCCAAGUAGCUUCCUCUCUGCCAUGAUUACGCCAAAGCACUUUCACUAAUGGGACAGAUUUCCUUCUGAGAACCUUAACAUCUCGAGCCAAUAUUUGCACAGGCUCCUCCUCAAAGGUCAAAUCAGUCUGAAUUUCAAUUUCUGCAACUGUCACGACAUGAGCAGGGUCAGAACGAUAACGCCUUAACAUGGAGACGUGAAAAACAUCGUGAAUCCUGUCUAACUCUGGAGGCAAUUCCAAUUGAUAAGCUACUGGGCCUACUCGCUUCAAAACUCGAUAAGGCCCAAUGAACCAUGGACUCAACUUGCCCUUCUUACCAAACCUUAAUAUCUUCUUCCAAGGAGAAACCUUUAAGAAGACCAUAUCACAUACUGAGUACUCAAUCUCCUUACGCUUCAAAUCUGCAUACGACUUUUGCCUAUCAGAUGCUUCUUUUAACCAAUCCCUAAUUUUUCUGACCUUAUCCUCAGUAUCAGCUACCAACUCUAGUCCAAGAACUUGUCACUCUCCUAGCUCAGUCCAACAACUAGGUGUACGACACCUUCGUCUAUACAGUGCUUCAUACGGUGCCAUUCAAAUACUCGCCUGGUAACUGUUAUUGUACGCAAAUUCUACCAACGGCAAGUACUCCUCCCAACUACCUCGAAAGUCAAUUACACAUCCCCUCAACAUGUCCUCCAGAAUUUGAAUAACCCUUUCCGACUGACCAUCAGUUUGGGGAUGGAAUGCCGUACUAAAGUUCAAUCGUGUCCCCAACGCCUCAUGUAACUUUUGGCAAAAUCAAGAUGUGAAUCUGGGAUCCCAAUCGGAAAUAAUCGAAACUGGGACUCCAUGAAGUCGCACAAUCUCUGCCACAUACAACUUGGCUAACUUUUGAAGUGAAAAGUCAGUACGUACAGGUAUGAAAUGGGCUGAUUUGGUCAACCUAUCCACAAUCACCCACACCGAGUCUUUCUUUGAUGGUGCCAAAGGCAACCCACUCACAAUGUCCAUGGUUACCCUCUCCCACUUCCAAAGUGGUAUCUUCACUGGCUACAACAGUCCAGAAGGUAAUUGAUGCUCAGCUUUCACUUGCUGGCAUGUCAGACAUUUCCCUACAAACUCCAUUACUUCUCAUUUAAGUCCAGGCCACCAGUACAAUUCUCGCAAGUCGUGAUAUAACUUGUUCCCUCCAGGAUGCAUGGCACAAAGUCCCCCAUGAGCUUCCUUCAAUAUUGUCUGCCUUAAAUCAGAGUCCUUCGGAACAAAAAUUCUUCCUCGGAAGCACAGAACUCCAUCACCAUUUAACCCAAACUCAGAAGUUUCCCCUUCCUUAACUUGUUGAAAACGAGCAACCAAGGACUCAUCGUUCAACUGCUUUUCCUUAAUCUGAUCCACCCAGGUUGGUCUCACUUGCAGCUCAGCCAACAGACUUCCACCAUCAUACAGACUCAGACGACCAAACAUUGCUCUCAGAUCAGAUACAGUUCUACGACUUAGAGCAUCGGCUACCACAUUAGCCUUGCCCAGGUGAUACUCGAUCGAACAGUCAUAAUCCUUAAGCAACUCAACCCAUCUCCUUUGCCUAAGGUUCAGCUCCUUCUGAGUCAAAAAAUACUUAAGACUUUUAUGGUCUGUGAAUAUAAUACACCUUUCUCCGUACAAGUAAUGUCUCCAAAUCUUAAGUGCAAAUAUCACUGCUGCCAACUCCAAAGCAUGAGUAGGAUAGUUCCCCUUGUGAGGCUUAAGCUGUCGCGAUGCAUAUGCAACCACCUUACCCUCUUGCAUUAACACGCAGCCCAAACCUACAUGUGAUGCGUCACUGUACACAGUAAAAUCCUUCCUAGACUCCGGCUGAAUUAACACAGGUGCUUCAGUCAGAACUUUUUUCAACUUCUCAAAAGCUUCCUACUGCUUCUCAGUCCACACAAACGGUACCCUUUCCUUAUGAGUUUUGUCAGAGUUGUUGCCAUCACAGAAAAACCUUCCACAAACCUUCUGUAGUAUCCUGCCAAUCCUAGGAAACUCCGUAUUUCCGACACUGACCUAAGCGGCUUCCACUCCAAAAUCACUUCAAUUUUUCGAGGGUCCACCUUAAUCCCCUCGGCAGAGACCACAUGUCCUAAGAAGGUUACCUCCCUCAACCAAAAUUCACACUUGUUGAACUUCACAUAAAGUUCCUUCUCCCUUAACACUUGCAGCACUAUGCGGAGAUGCUCAUCAUGCUUCGCUUCCGUUUUAGAAUAUACCAGGAUAUUGUCAAUAAAGACGACUACAAACUGAUCCAAAAAUGGUUGGAACACACGAUUCAUCAAAUCCAUAAAUGCUGCAGCAGCGUUCGUCAGUCCAAAUGGCAUAACCAGAAACUCGUAAUGACCAUACCGAGUCCUGAAUGUCGUCUUAUGGAUAUCUACCUCCUUGACCCUUAACUGAUGAUAUCCAGAUCGAAGGUCGAUCUUGGAAAAUACAGAAGCUCCUUUAAGCUGGUCGAACAAAUCGUCAAUCCUUGGCAGUGGAUACUUACUCUUAAUCGUCAGUUUGUUCAACUGGCGAUAAUCAAUGCACAUCUGCAUCGUACCAUCCUUCUUUUUCACGAAUGGCACCGGUGCUCCCCAUGGAGACACGCUUGGCCUAAUGAAGCCCCUAUCCAACAACUCUUGAAUUUGUGCCUUUAACUCCACUAACUCCUUUGGUGCCAUCCUAUACGGUGCGAUGGACACGGGCGCCGUUCCAGGCAACAAGUCGAUUCCAAACUCAACUUCUCAGUUCAGAGGCAAUCUUGGAAGCUCCUCCGGAAAAACAUCUUGGAACUCUUUUACGGUCUUAACCUUAUCCACUGUCAGACCCUCCUCUUCCGACUGACUUACAAAUGCCAAAUAGGCCUCACAACUUUUCCGAAUCCACUUUUCGGCUCUUAAUGCCAACACCACAUUGGACAAAUAAUCUCUUCGCUCACCUAUCACCAUAACCUCCUCACCCUCUAUGGUCCUUAACACCAUUCAUUUAGCAGGACAAUCCAAAGUCGCCUUAUGCUUAACAAGCCAGUCCAUUCCCAGAAUGAGAUUAAACUCUCCGAACGGUAACUCCAUCAGAUCUCCAGGGAAAAUCCUACCUUGAGUUUCUAAGGGUACAUCCCUAUACAGUUUGUCUACCCUAACCGAGUGACCCAAAGGACUUAGCACAGAUACCCCACUCACAAUCUUCUCAGAGUGCACACCCAACGACCCAAAUAUGGCACAUGCAACAUAGGAAUGAGUAGAUCCAAUAUCCACCAAAGCAGUAUACGAUAUGCUAGAAACCAAAAACGUACCAGUUAUGACGUCAGAUGCGUCGCCCUCCUCUCGACGACGAGCUGCAUAAACCAACAUUGGCUGUCGAGCUUCAGCAUUUUCGGCACCCCUGCCAGGUGCCCCUCGACCUCGACCAUUUCCAUUUUCGCCCCUAUCUUGUCCACGUCCUCUCAGUGGUUUCCUACAAGCACCAGAAAGUUUCCUACACUCGCUCAAAUGUACCUUACCACAGUCUCCACAGAUUGGUGGUCUAACAACAUUCAUCGGCACUGCUCGAACUAGUUCCUCCACUCUUGCUCUCUUAACAUUUCUACUUGCUCCACCUGGAGAUCCGAAAUCCUUCCGAAAACGAUUUCGAUCUUUCUCCCGAUUCUGCUUUUUGGCACGCUUUUCCUCCUCAGCUAUCUUUGCCUUCUCCACCAAGACCACAAAGUCUCGCUCCCUCUGCGGAGCAAUCAACACCCUAAGGUCAUCUCUAAGACCAUCCUCGAAGUGCACACUUCGCUCAUAUUCCGUAGCGACUAUGCCCACGGCAUACCGGCUCAGCCUCAAAAACUCAGCCUCGUACUCAGCAACUGUUUUACCUCCUUGCACCAGAUUCAAGAAUUCCUUUCUGCGGGCGUCCACAUAAUUCGCCCCAACAUACUUCCCUUUAAAAGCCGCCUUAAACAGUUCCCAAGUUACCCUAUCAGCUGGGGUCCCUUCUCUCAUAGUGAGCCACCACUGAUAAGCCUCGUCCCGUAGCAACGAUACGGCUCCCUUCAGCUUCUGCUCCACAGAGUAGUCCAAGUCGUCCAUAAUCCGUUCUGUGGCCUCCAACCAAUAUUCUGCCACAUUCGGGGCUACACUAGACACACCCUUAAAGAUCUCCGCUCCGUUAGCCCGAAGUCGUUUAGAAAUAGAUCCCUGAAUUUCGUUGCCCGUACUUGCCCCGGCAACCCUUUCUAGAACACGAAGCAUUGCCUGCGACAGGGCAUCAUCCCCGACACUGCAGUCAUGAGACUCCACCUCUGUUGUCGGUGGUACCAGUGCAUCCGCUGCCGGCAUAUGUCCCAAAGAUGAAGAUCUCGCUCGAGCACUUCCUCAGCCCUGUCCACGGCCUCUUCCACGAGCGGCUCUUGUACUCAUAUCGUAUUAUCUGAUUACGAAUUUUUAUGCAUUAAUUCAAUAUUUCAGUGUUUAUUACAGAUGUUUUAUGAAUCAGACAGUAAUUCAAAGUUUAUUUUCGCAAAAUCGAAGUCUAUGUACAGUUUCAAUCAAAUUUCCUAUGGUUUCCGUAUCAUCCUAUCUAGAGUAUCCUAGUAGGGUUUCAGUACAGACAGAUAAUUCAGGAAAAUAUUCAGAAAAGUUCAGAGUAAUACUUACAGGCUUGGGCCGAAGAUUCAGAAUGCCACCUUCUAUAGAUCUAAAUUUUGAAAAUCGAGUUUUUUUCAAUUUUUAUAAAAUUUUUAUUUUUGUAAACCCAUUCCACAGCCGAGUUGUUGCAACUUGGCUCUGAUACCACUAAAUGUAACACCCCAAACCUGACCCAGGCGUUAUGGCUGGAUUCGACAUGCCACAUCGAAGCGUUCAAAACAUUUCAUAUUGUUGAUCCAAAAGAAACUUACUUAGUGUUUUAAAAGAUAAUUUCAUUGUAGGUUAAAGUGAAUGGAAGUUGUGCACCAGGUAGGAAAUCGGGAAAGAGGAGGUGAGUCCAUCGGACUGCUUAACUACCAAGCUCCCUUCGGAUCCAAUCCUAGACAAGCACACCGCCAUUGCCACACCUUAACGUCAUGUAUAUUUCCCGGAAACCUAUUUGAUUAAGUCCUUUUUAGGAAAAGUGAUUAAUUUUAGAAAAUAUUUUCAUUGCGGAAGCUUUGCUUGUUGUCGUGCUAUUUUGAAAUCAAUUACUGUUUUUUGAAAACGCGCCCUAAAGCUAUCUAGUUUCAACAGUUAAAUAUAAAUAAUACCUAUCUUAAUAAAACAUAUUAAACCCAUCAAAAAAUAAUUAAGCGGCCUUAUUACAUAAAAAAAACCCAAAACCUUAAACGUAAAUAAAAGGAUGUCCAGUUCACCAGAAGAAAAUCAAACUCGCAGAACGUGUGGCCACUCCGAAUCCCUCACAGCUCCAGGCCCACUAUGGCUGGGGAUUAGCUGCAUGGAUGCGAAUAAAAGGGUGAGUUUGGAGAAACUCAGUGUGUAAAUUAACCCAACCAUAGCCCAUAUCGGUUCAAACCACAGAAAACAAAAUAAGUUGGCCUUAGCCCAGAACAGAAUUUAGAAUAAAGCCCAUAGGCCCAUAACAUAACAGAACAGAUAUUACAUGUUUAUGCAAAACCCAACCCAAAUCCAACCACAUGCACCCCCAUACCAACCUUUCACCAUGUGGGGAGACUACUCGACCCACCCAACUGCUACACGCCACAAAAAUAUGCAGCAUGGCUGCUAGAACAGAUAAUGUGACAGAGUCACCAGAUACAGAUAAUUGUGGCAGAGCCACCAGAACAGAUAUAUAUGGAGCCACCAGAUCAGAUAAUUGUGGCGUAGCCACCAGGACACUUCCUCCAUAAUAUAACCCAUGUCCCCAUGCAAAAAAAUACAAUCAUGGCAUACAUCAUACAGAAUCAGAUCAUCAUGCUUUUCAGUCAAAAGUAACCCUAGGGGUAUAUCAGUAAUUUCCAUACAUAGGAGUAUUCAAGUAAUUUCACUAUUCUUAAGGUUUUCAUGCAUAGCAUAUCCAUUUACGUACGACCAGAAACACUUACCGUGUUUUCUUACCGAAUUGGGCCCGUUGGCCCACUACCCCGAUUUUGGCCCAUUAAGCCUAAAAACAUCGAAAUGCACGGAAUCGUACACUUUGAAAUCUUAUCACCUUAAUUUACCACAUACAUCAAACUAUUAAGCUCACGAGCAUUCACACACUCGCAAGUUCUCAAAAUACCGGCUUUUCGGCAUUUUGGCUUUUCGGCUUUUGCCGAUCUAGUCUAUAAGAGGGUGUCAGUUACACACCUUUUUGCGAUGAUAUGCUGAUGAUAUCCACACACGAACUGCCUACAAUCGGAUUACUAACACGUUAAUCCAACUAUCAAAAAUGAACUACGUAUUAACCCCUUACCAUAUUCGGCCAAAAGCACCUUAGGCACUAGCGAUCCUACCUUUGCCGAAAUUAGCGAUUAUGUCUAGAUCCAGUCGUUCCACUUGUCCAAGCCUUCGAUUAGCAGCCUCUAGAUCCCACUAUUAUCAAAAUAAAAUAGUUAUUACAACCCUUAGAGCUACAAGCCCAAAUCGACAGCCUCCCUAAACUUUAGGGGUUUCGGCUUUUUCUAAAACCUGAAAUAAAGAUUAAGUUCAAAAACUUACCACUGGCUCCUUCAGUCAAUGAUUCCACUUAAUUCCUACUCGAUUCUAAUGCAGAUCUAACCCCUCAAAUGAUAACAAAAUUCUAGCCUUUAGUAAUCUUAAAAUUCGGCUAUGUCCCUAUGGCUAUGCGUUUUCGGCUUUUUUUGUAGCAGUGAAGAAAAGAUGAGGGUUUUGUAGUGGCUUUGUCGACAGGAACUUGGGGUUUAGAGGACUAGAGAAUCGGUCAAGAAGAUGAGGGAAAAUAAGAGGGUUUUGACUAGAAGAAAACGGCACAAAAGAAAUCAGGCUUUCGGGAUUUCGGCUUUUUGAGGUAAUCGACUAUAGGCUUAAAAACAACUGAUAAAAAAUGAAGAUGAGCAGAAUGGUAGAGAGAUUCGGCAAACAAGAAGAAGAAAAGAAGUUGAUGAAAAGAGAAAGAAGAAGAAAAAAGAAAAAGGAAGAAUGGUCAGGAAACGGCACAACAUACCCCUAAUGCCGAACUUAUACUUGGCAUUUGACCUAGCCGAAACUUGCCCCCUAAAGAAAACCCUUGGCCAGCCAACUCUUGCUCCUCAAGAGUCCACCAUUCGGCCAACACUGCUCUCCCUAAUCAACUCCUAAAUCCUCUCCCUUAUCCCCUCCUUACUCAAUCUCCUGAGCAACUCAAACUCCUCCUGACAGUCUUUUACUUAAGUUCCAUUACUUACCCUUUCUAAACAUAAAAAUAAUUCCCUUAAUAUGCUCCCAUUGUGACUUGAACCUUGGUUCUCCCUAGCAUCCACACGCCACUUUUAUAGCCUUCCUAGUGGCGUCACAUGCCACUUUGCCACCUGCUUCCUUGUGUUUUAUUUUGCCCAAUUAAUACUUAAAAGCCCAGUUAACCAGAACCCCUUUUUUUCUUAUGGAACUAAAAUUAACUAAAAUUACCGAGUUUUAACCUAAGCUUGGGCCUUCUAGAGGCCCACUAACAUAAUUAAACCUACACCAAAUAGACAGAACACAGAAAUUUUAAAUUUUUGCCAACAUACACAAAGUUCCCAAAAAUUGGGGCGUUACACUUUUUAUUAAUGGUCUAAUUACCAUUUAAGGACCUCAAGUUUUGAAUUCCAUAGCUAUUUAAUCCUUAUAGGUACUAGAAUUCAACUUUUUCAUUUUAUGCGAUUUGGUCCUUCCCGUAAUUAAACACUUAACAGAUAAAAUUUUCUUAUCAAAAUUUUCACAUGACAUGCCUAUAAUAAUACGGACCAUAUAAUAAAAUAAAAAUAAAUUUUAUUUUUUGACUCGAAUUUGUGGUCCCGAGACCACUGUUCCGAUUUCACUGAAAUUGGGCUAUUACAUUACAACCAUAUUCAGGUCUCAUAUUACCUUACAAAAGCUCUAUUGAUAACUCGAGGUCUAAUAAGGACUAAAAUAUAGUAUAUCAAAACUAUUGGGUUAACGUUGCGACUUAAAGGGUUCCAGGUCACGAUGCCACUCACUAUAAAUUUCUCGUCACAACAUUAAGGGUCUGACAUCACGAUGUUACUUUUUUAUUUCCAAAAUAACCACUAAAUACGAAUUCACAACAACCUGCACAUAAGUUCAUUUGCACAUUUCAACAAUUUAACACUACAUAUAUGCUUUGCAUAAUCCAUAUGGAAUCAUUCAACUAGCAUUACAAUAUAAAUUUCCAAUUUGACAAUUCACAUGAACUUACUAUAGGUUCCAAAAUGAAUGUUUCAAUAUAAAAUAGACUUAAACCUUAGGUAAAUGUCAUAUAUCAGAACAUAAGGAACUAUACAAAUAUUGAUGAGUCAAGUGUCUCGAUUCAAAUGUUAGAUCACUUCUUGGGUCUUCGAUAUCUACAAUACCAUGUGCAUAAAAUAAACAAACUAUAUGUUGUGUGAUAAAACUCAGUGGUACUUUCAUGAUUUAAGUCAUAUAAGAGAAAGCAUUAACAUGGUAAGAAUAUAAUCAAUAUAUAAUCAAGUUUCAACCAUUUCAAUUCACCUAUUCAUUUCCCAUAUAACAAUUCAUAUACUAUCACAAUUGGUAAAUCAAUACACACAAAUCAUACCAUAUUUUUUAAUAACUAGAAUACACUUAUUACAUUUCAACUCAUACCAAUUUGGCACCUUAGUGUAUUAUCGAAAAAUUUGAAGUCUUAGCACAUAGUGCUUCAUCAUACUAAUUUGGCACCUUGGUGCAUCAUUGGGAGAACCAAAGUCAAUAUAGUGGCACACAUUUUCCGUUAUCAAACGAACUGAACCUAAUAUAUUGGUGCACAUAGUGCAUAUAUAGCAACUCGGUUUCCAGUAGUGUCGAAAAAGGCGAUUUUGAGAUCCCAUUUUUGUAACUCAAGCUUGUAAAUAUUUAAUAAGAAUAUUUACGAUGUUAAAAUAUAGAUGAAUUAAAUUUUGGACAGCCAAUUUAGUAGAAAUUAUGAUUAAUUAGGUCCUAGAUUCUAAAUUGUAAAGACCGAUCACUAUAUAUUUUUAAUUAGGAAAUGGGUUGGGAACUUAAAUUGCAAUAAACCAAAGGUUUAAAAUAGAAAAUAUACAAUGUUAAAUCAUAUGUUAGUGGACGGCAUGAUUAAUUAGAUAUUAACUUAGGUUAAUUAAGAUUUAUUUAGUAAAAACUUGAUUAAUUAAAUUAAGCUAUAACUUAAUCCUAAUAUAUAUAUGAUAAUUUAGUGGAAGGAAAUAUAAGUUCACCUUCUCUAGCCAUCUAUAAAACAAAUAAGAAGAAAAAAACACCAUAGCUAGGGUUCACAAGCUUUUUGGCUUUAAUUUCAAGCAAAUCCCUAGCCAUUUUUAUUUUUAUUUUUAUGGAAAUUGAAUCAUGGGAGCUUGAUCUAGCUAACCCAUGUGCUAAUUUUAAAAACUGUUAAAGUUUUAUAAAGUUUCCAUGAUAGAGAAUUAAUUGAUUUUUGUGGUAAAUUGUUAGGAAUUAAGCUUAGUAUAUGAAAAGGACUAAAUUGUAAAGCUUAAUUAUUAGUUUCGCACAUUAGGGACCAAAUUGAAAAGUUUUUAAAAUGUCAUGAAUUAUUGGUAAGGAUAGAAAAUAGAGGGUCACUAAUGAGUUUUGGUGAAAUUGGAUUUUAAUCUGAGGCUUUAAAUUGGAAGUUAUGUUUGUCCUAUUGUUACGAACUAAAUUGAAUAAAUUAAAAAUUUCAUGUAAACUGAUAAUUGCUUUUGAAUUGGCUGGAAUUUAAUAGUAUGUUAUGUUUUAUGACUAUCCGUAGCUAAUUUCGAUGUGGAACCAUCAAGAGGGAAAGGAAGAACGAAAGUGGUCGACAAGUAACCGAAAAUUCUAAUUUGUACAUUUAUAAUUUAAAGUAAUAAAAAUUGCUUGCAUUUUCAUGUCAAGGUAAGUAUAUAGUAAUAACAUAAGUUAUUGGAUCAAGCUUGAAUGUGAAUUCUCUAAAUAGAGGACCAAAUUGAAUAAAGUGGAAAAUAGCAUGAUUUGCUUGAAUUAUGAAUAUGGUGUGGAAUUGAGUGAGAAUACGUAUUGAAUGAUAUGAAAUAUGUAUGUUAUAUUCAUUAAUUGAAUUGUUACAAUGUAUAUGAUUGAAAAUUUGAUAUGUGUAUUAAAUUGUAAAACGAAUUGAAAUUUGAUACCCUAUUAACUAGUCUGGUUGAGUCAGAUAUAGUUGGCAUGCCGUAAGAUUGGAUUGAGUACAGGAUUAUGCUCUUAUGUGCCAAGGUUUGAAAGCAUCGUUGAGAUGACAAAAGGAGGAGACGAGUUGAAUGUCUUGCUGAAGAACCAUGGGAGGUCCAGGAAAGAUACCAAAUCAAGGGGUAUGUUGUCGGCUUUGGAAAGUAGAGUUAUCCAUCUCAAAGUGUAACACCCUAAACCCGUAUCCAUCACCGGAAUAGGGUUACAGAGCAUUACCAAAAACUUUUAACUUAAAACAUUCGAUUACAAUUAUUUAUAAAACACAUUAUAUUCCAUUCAAACACAUUCAUAACAUCCCUUUUUGAGCCCUCGAGGCCUUAGAAACACUUUAGAAAUGAUUCGAGGGUAAAUCGAAAACAUUUAGAACUUCAUUGCAAAAGAUUAAAAAACUCAUACUACAGGGGUCACACGGCUGUGUGGCUAGGCCGUGUGACUCACACGGCUGAGACACACGUUCAUGUCUCAGGCCGUGUGCACAUUUGAAAUAGGAACACACAGCCAUGUCCCAUCCCAUGUCCAUGCCCAUGUAACUCUCUGACUUGGGUCACACGGCCAAGUCACACGCCCGUGUGCUUGGCCAUGUACCUCUUGAAAUUGCCUCACAUGCCAGUGUGCUAGGCCAUGUAACUGCCUGAUUGCAACCCUUUGAAACCUAUAGGGGACACAUGACCGUGUCACAUGGCCAUGUGUCACACACAACUUGUAACACCCCUAACCCGUAUUCGUCGUCAGAAUAGGGCUUCAGAGCAUUACCGAAACAUUCAAAAUAUUUUAGAAAUAAUUUAUGUAAAUUAAUUCUCAUUAAUCGAGAUCAUUUCAAACAUCCCUUAAUUGGACCCUCGAGGCCCAAUACGAGCAUUAGAAUCCAGUCGGGGCUUAAACGGGAACUCUGAGAAUUUUUCGUGACAUUUCAAAAAAAUUUCAAGUUACAGGGCUCACACGUCUGUGUGGUCCCUUGGACACUCCCGUGUGACCCUGGGACAUGCUCGUGUUGGAGGUCGUAUUCGACCCCGUGUAAUUCUUUGACUUGUGCACACGGCCAUACCAUACGCCCAUGUGCUAGGCCGUGUGGUUUAAUAAUUCAAUUCAAAAUUAAGUGCAAGUUUCACAUGGCCAAGACACACGCCCGUAUUCUAGGCCAUGUGGUACACACGGCUGAGACACAUGCCCGUGUCUCUGCCCGUGUGCUUAAUUUUCAGCAUUCUAUUUCUCAAAAUUUUGGGUGCAGGGGACACACGGCCUAAUACAUGCCUGUGUACCCGGCUGUGUGUCACACACGGUCUAGACACAUGCGUGUGUGUCUACCUGUGUGGACAAAAUAAAGCCAUUUCUAGCUUCAUUUUUAACCCAAAUUCACACCAAUGACCUGCACUUAAAUUCACAUCCACAAACCAACCAAUUCAAGCAUUCAAAUUAAACAAAUUCCUUAAUUCAUCAUGGCAUACCAUUACAUGCAUACAUGUCUAUAAUCUUACCUUAGUUAAGUCCUAAAGUUAGACAUUAUUUGAUCAACUACUUGACAUUUUGAAACUACCAUUGUAUGACAUUACAAGUACAAUAGAACAUGCCACUACUGUAACACCCCUAUCCCGUAACCGUCGCCAGAAUAGGUAAGGGGCAUUACCGGACUUGUAACUCAUGUUAGAACAGUAAAAUUUUGAACUUUUUCUUGAAAUAAAGAUCGUUCGUUUAAAUAAGUACUAAGCACAACCAGAGGUAAAAUUUAAACUUCACUAAGUAAACAUUCAAAAGAUGCCAUUUUCGCAUGGCUUAUAUACAUUAACCAAAGAUAUUCUUCCGCCACUAGUCUAUUCUAUACAUGCCAUAAGAUAAUCCAAAACGUAGCAGUACCAAACAAUGGAUAGUGAUAGUGUGACUAGUUGCUGAUGAUCCCCGAGCCUGUAGCUUCCAAAUGAGAUCUAUAAAACAGAAGAAACAGAGUAAACGGAGUAAGCAUUACAAUGCUUAGUAAGUUUUAAGCAGUGUCAACAGAUAACAAUCAAAUUAUAACAUAGUUGUUCGUAUAUUUUAUUUCACUCUUCCUUCGGGCAUACCAUCCCUUUUCCGAAUAUGCACAUCUCAUCAUAUACAAUAGGCAGAUAAACUUUCAUAUAAAAGUGAGCUCAUGUGACAUAGAUAUAUCGUAUGAUUUCACAUAACCUCUCACACUGAUCCGAUGUCACAUAAUCAUAGGAAUAGUCUCAUAGAUUGCUCUCUAUGCAUCACAUAACUACCUUAUGAUUAAGUGCAAAUCAAGCUCACAUAUAAACUUGGAGUACAUACCUGUUUAACCUUUCGCAUUGAAUAUAUUUAUAAGCAAUUCUUAUUACGAAGUCUUACCCGGACAUAAUCUCCACACGAAGUUAUCGGGUCUUACCCGGACAAAAUCCCCACACGUAGUCAUCGGGUCUUUAGAGCUCGGAUAUAGUACGAGCACGAAGCUUACGGACAUUAAUCAGUGAUAAUAUUCUCGCAUAAAGCCUGCGGGGUUUUAACCCGGAUAUAGUGCUGACACAAAUGCCCUUCGGGACUUAUCACAUUUAUACACUUUCACAUCCUUCACGUUGGCCACUCGGCCCUGUCACAUAUAUACACUUUCACAUUCAUCACAUCGGCCAUUAGGCCUUAUCACAUAUAUACACUUUCACAUUCAUCACAUCGUCCAUUAGGCCUUAUCACAUAUAUACACUUUCACAUUACCAACCCUUUUAUUCAUACACAAAUAUCAACUUAGCCAAAGGCCGGUAGCUCAUUUAUCAACUGAGUGAAUACUUAUUUGUAAGGGCUCAACUAAUUCAAAGCACAUACGAAACAUACCUCAAUGUUGGGAUGUUUCAAGCGUAUUAACUGAAAUUUUUACAGCAAGAUCAUUCAUUCCCAAAUCACAUACCUUCGGAAUUUAACCGGAUAUAGCUACUCGUUCAAAUGCCUUCGGGACAUAGCCCAGUUAUAGUAACUCGCACAAAUGCCUUUGGGACUUAACCCAGAUUUAGUAACUCGCACAAAUGCCUUCGGGCUUAGCCCGGAAUUAGUAUCUCGCACAAAUGCCUUCGGAUCUUAGUCCGGAUUUAGUAUCUCGCACAAAUGCCUUCGGAUCUUAGUCUGGAUAUGGUCACUUAGCACAAAGCCUUCGGGACUUAGCCCAGACAUCAUUCAAAUAACCAUGCACAUUUAACAAUAAAUCAUGGCACAUUCGUAUUUCAUUUUCGAUAGCAAAACUCAAACACAAGACACUUAUCAUUCUUGCAAUUUCGGCUCAAUAGCCACACACAAAGAGCAUGAUUUUGAUUUGCUUAAAACAUGAUCUAAUCAAAUCAUAAUUUAAGCUCUAUUACUCAAGAACUUACAAUAUCACGAUUUAGAAUUCAAGUAUGGGUUUAAUCAAUAGCUUGUGAGCAACUAAAACAAGUUUAUCAAGGUUCACAACAUAAUCUCAAAUUCAGCACAAGCUGUUUUUCCUGAGCAAUAGUCACUAAAUUAUUUAUAACUGGAGCUACAAAACUCCAAAUCACUUUCCGUUAAUUUUUCCUGAAUAUAGACUCGUAUAUCUUCCACCCAUAAAAUUUCCAGAAUUUUAGGUUUCACCAAUCAAUACCAGAUUUUUCUUAAAAUUUCCCCUGUUUCACUGUUUGACUAAUCUGACCACUCUUCACUACGAAUCAAAUUUCUCAUUUUAAAGAAUUCAAAAUGUGUUGUAUUUGAUUUCAUUUGAAAUUAGACUCAUUAAGGAGUCUAAGCAUAUAAAUUUUAUCUUAUAACCAUUUUUUUACAAUUUAUAAUGAUUUUCUAAAAACAGAACAGGGGAUUUCGGAGUCAUUCUGACACCGUCUCACACAACUUUAAAUAUCUCAUUAUCGGAAAUUCCUUUGCUUACACGGUUUCUUUUAUAAGAAACUAGACUCAUUAAGAUUUAAUUUCAUGUCUCAUUCAGCCUCUAAUUCAAGUCCAUAUAUUUAUGGUGAUUUUCUAAAGUGACGUUACUGCUGCUGUCCGAAGCAGACUAUUUCAAAUUACCCUUAAAUUCCCAAGCUCAAACACUUAAGAACUUACCAUUUGAGCUUAGAACAUAUCAUGGCAACAUCAUAUCUUAUUAAAUCAACUCAUCAUGUCCUAUUAUAAUUGAAUUUACUCAACGUUUAAACACUUAAAACUUACCUCGGAUGUGGUCGAACAAUUUCGGCGGCUAUUCGAUCACUUCUUCCCUUCCCUUAUCCAACUUUGGUCCUCUAAGCUCUUGAGCUUAAUUUAACAAAUAAAUUGAUUUAAUCAUUUGAGCAUCAAAAGAGGAACUCAAGGUACUUAGCCCAUAUAUACAUACAUUAGACAUUAAAGUCACAUACAUAUGAAAUCAUAAAUCAAUUCAACAUAUUAGCCCACACUCUCUUUUAGCCGAUUGUCUAAGCCAAGAUAAAAGCAUCAAUAUGCUUGCCUCUAGCCGAAUACAUGCAACACCAAGCAAGAAUGAUGCAUCCAUGGCCGAGUGUCAUCUUCAUAACUUUACAAAAACAUUUGCCAUGAGCUAGCUUCUGUACUUGGUGGCCACUCCAAAUGUACAAAGAUUUUCAAUGAUAGAGCAUUAACAUACCUUAAUACAUCAAAAUAAUUAAAUUCUUCCCAUGGCACACUAAAACCGAAUAUGUCUUAUUCAAAUAUAAAUUCUCAUAUUUCAUUUAUUUAACCAUUUAACCCUCCUAUCAAAUAAUUUUCACAAACUAAUCUUAAACUCAAAAUCACAUAAAAUCGUAACACAAAAGGCAUUCAUCUAACACUUGAUUUCUAAAUUCUAACAUCAAACUCAAAUUUCUUAGCUCAUCAACUCAUGGCCGAACAUCAAUUAUUCACCAAAACAAAAAUUAACUCAUGGGUUUUAGAGAAAAUUAAGUAAGGAAUUCAAUGAUACUAAAAAUUAACAAAAACAACCUGAAUUUCACCUUGAAUUUUUGCUUCCAAAUGGCCGAAACUUCAAAGCCACAAAUUUUAUUUUCUUUCUCCUUUGUUCGGCCUCCAAGAUGAACUACAUGCAUGUUCUUUUUUUUUUAUGCCCCAUACCGUCCAUAUCAAUUGUCAAGGUUAAAUAUCAUCACAAAUACUCCAACUUACAAAAACAACUUCAAUUCGGCCCUGAAGAUACAAACAUGCAUGGCUUUCCAUUUUAUGUUUUAUAAUACUUAUAAAAAUAAUUAUCUCACAAAUAACUUUAAAAUAAACAUAUAAAGACAUCAUGCAUUAAGCCAUUACCAUCCAUAUAUUUAUUAAUGAUAUAAUUGCCAUUCAAAACCUCAAUAUUCUAAAGACAUAACACUUUAACAUUUUCAUGAUAGCAUGCUUAUUAAUCAAUUGAUGCAUUUUAAUCCUUUUUAAUGACAUAAAGAAAGAAAGAAAAAUAUUUACCAAGAGUUUCAAACUACUUGGCCGAAUAUCAAACCUCCAAACAACCAAAAAAUUUAACUCAUGGAAUGGAUAGAAUUUGAACAAAUCACCAAAAUUAUACAUAAAUUUUCAAGAAUUUCAAAGUACUUACCUCUUUCUAAAUAUUCUCCAAGCCGAAAUCAUACAAAGAAAUUUUUUUCUUCUUUCUAAUCUCAAGUUACGGCAAUGGUAGAGUGAGGAUGAACCAACUUUGUUUUUAUCACCCAUUUCUUUUAAUAUAAGUUCAUAUUUCAUAUUAUUUAUUCAUUUAACAUUUAAUUUAUUAAUAUAAAAGGCAUAUAUUUUGUAUCCCAUGCUCCUUAUUUUAUCAUACUUCCCAUGAAACACUAACUUAACAUGUUUAUGACAUGUUCUUGCCCAUCACACUUGGUCUACCAUACUUGUCAUGGCCGGCCACUACUAAUUAGGGGGGGAAAUUGACAUGCAAGUCCCCCCCUUUUAUUUCAUGCACUAAUAGAUCCUUAUGCUUUGACCUAUCACAUUUCAAAAUUUUCUCACAUAAGUCCUAUUUGAUAAAAUUCACUUACUAUUAACAAAAUUCAAACAUGAAAUUUUCACACAUGCAUAUGUACAUAUAAUGAGCAUCAACUAUGACGGUUAAUUAUCUUUAUGACUCGGUUUAGUGGUCCCGAAACCACUUUCCGACUAGGGUCACUUUAGGGGUGUCACAACUCUUCCCCACUUAAGAAAUUUUCGUCCCCGAAAAUUUCUACCGAUGCAUAGUUUGGGAUAACGUCCUCAUAUUGAAUUAUAUCCACAAAGACAUUAGCUCAUUGAUAGCAAUUGUAAUUCAUUAUUGAUUUCGCAUCGAUUUAUAAAAUCAUUUUCUUAUCUUAAAACAAAUACAUAAACAUUUCUACAAGUAUGCACAUAUAUCUCAUUUUCUUGAUUUCAUAAGUAAUAAUCACUUAACUUAAUUCACAAAUGCAUUUCAAACACAUAUUAAGCACAUAUUAACAUGUAUAAUUCACAUCAUCAACUCACAUAUUUGUAACCCACAUUUUCAUUCAUUAAUAAGCUGUAACCUAACCGAAAGUACACAUAUACUCAAACAUCCCAAUAAAUAUCCUUUAUAACUUUAUCACAUCUCAAUAUUCAACUUAACUCAUUUCCAAAAGAAAAGUCAACUUCCACGUACCUGAACAUUUAGUUCAUUUAGCACAUUCAAUCAUAUUUAACGUUACCCGUAUACAGUCGAAUAGGCAUAAAGCCUAAUAUAAUACACUGGCAUGAGAUUUAUUCUAGCACAUAACUCGUAUAUCCAAAAUUAUCAACAUUCAUUAAAAAUUCUUUCAAACUUUCGAAUGUCGAAACUUAAUCAAAAUAAUUUCUUGAACAAGAUUAACAAAAUAGUGUCCAUUCAGCAAUAGCACAUAUAGCUCUUACAAUGCCAUAUCCUAGAUAUGGUCUUACAUAUUCUCACAUAUCGAGCCGAUGCCAUGUCCCAGACAUGGUCUUACACACUAUCUCAAAUCAAUGCCUUCGUCCCAAACGAGGUCUUACAUGAAUUCCACUUCACACGCUUAGUGCCCACUGACCGAUCUCGCACUCAUAGUGCUCGGUUAAAGGAAUUCGCACACACACAGUGCCUCUAAUUAUUCACAUACAUAGUGCUCUUAUUCAUUCCUUAAUACACAUUGAUAUGACUUAACCAAGUCUAUAAACAUCAUGUAUGUACACUUUUAAACAUAUCAUCUCAUUUAAAUUUGAAUUUGUAUAGUAAUGAGCACUUAAACUUUGCUCAAAUUACCGGCACGAAGCCUACUAGGCACGAAGGCCCGAAUACACGUCACCAGCAUGAUUACUCUUCGGGACCUAGCCCGGAUAUAACACCAGCAUGAAUGCUCUUCGAGGUUUAGCACGGAUAUAUUACUAGCACGAAUGCUCUUCGGAACUUAGCCCGGAUACAUCACUAGCACGAAUGCUCUUCGAGACUUAGCCCGGAUACAUCACUAGCACGAAUGCUCUUCGAGACUUAGCCCGGAUACAUCACUAGCACGAAUGCUCUUCGAGACUUAGCCCGGAUACAUCACUAGCAUGAAUGCUCUUCGGGACUUAGCCCGGAUAUAUCACUCUCAAUUCUCAUGUACAUAUACACAUAUAGCAAUACACAUUAGUAUAUCAUUUACAUUACUUGAAUGCAAACACAACAUGCUUAUCGACCAUUCAACUUCCAGUUCCAUAGCCACAUACAAAAAUCACAUUUAUAGUCAUAACACUCUUUCAAAAUUGCAUCACUUAUACCCUUAUAAUUCAAUCCAAAUCGAAAUUCAAAUACGAGUACAUGAUACGUACCUGAUCAACUUAAUAAUUUAGGCAUAUCUAAGUGAAGUUAUAUCGCAAAUUCUCAUAGUCAGAAGCUUGCUACAGCUCGAUCGGGAUCAAGAUUCAUUGCAAUAUAGCAAACACAUUUUAAUAACCAAAAAUCAUCACACUAUCAUUUUAUCACUUUAUGGCAUGUAUAAAUAGACUCACGCGUGCUACGGUAGUCUUAGAAUCGACUAAACCGUAGCUCUGAUACCAAUAAAAUGUAACACCCCUAUCCCGUAACCGUCGCCAGAAUAGGUAAGGGGCAUUACCUGACUUGUAACUCAUGUCAGAACAGUAAAAUUUUAAACUUUUUCUUGAAAUAAAGAUCGUUCGUUUAAAUAAGUACUAAGCACAACCAGAGGUAAAAUUUAAACUUCACUAAGUAAACAUUCAAAAGAUGCCAUUUUCGCAUGGCUUAUAUACAUUAACCAAAGAUAUUCUUCCGCCACUAGUCUAUUCUAUACAUGCCAUAAGAUAAUCCAAAACGUAGCAGUACCAAACAAUGGAUAGUGAUAGUGUGACUAGUUGCUGAUGAUCCCCGAGCCUGUAGCUUCCAAAUGAGAUCUAUAAAACAGAGGAAACAGAGUAAACGGAGUAAGCAUUACAAUGCUUAGUAAGUUUUAAGCAGUGUCAACAGAUAACAAUCAAAUUAUAACAUAGUUGUUCGUAUAUUUUAUUUCACUCUUCCUUCGGGCAUACCAUCCCUUUUCCGAAUAUGCACAUCUCAUCAUAUACAAUAGGCAGAUAAACUUUCAUAUAAAAGUGAGCUCAUGUGACAUAGAUAUAUCGUAUGAUUUCACAUAACCUCUCACACUGAUCCGAUGUCACAUAAUCAUAGGAAUAGUCUCAUAGAUUGCUCUCUAUGCAUCACAUAACUACCUUAUGAUUUAGUGCAAAUCAAGCUCACAUAUAAACUUGGAGUACAUACCUGUUUAACCAUUCGCAUUGAAUAUAUUUAUAAGCAAUUCUUAUUACGAAGUCUUACUCGGGCAUAAUCUCCACACGAAGUUAUCGGGUCUUACCCGGACAAAAUCCCCACACGUAGUCAUCGGGUCUUUAGAGCUCGGAUAUAGUACGAGCACGAAGCUUACGGACAUUAAUCAGUGAUAAUAUUCUCGCAUAAAGCCU
This 27242-nucleotide long non-coding RNA is filed under the name Gossypium barbadense (sea-island cotton). RNAcentral's name for it is "long non-coding RNA (GBAR_LNC000652)". The record is from RNAcentral. Lineage: Eukaryota; Viridiplantae; Streptophyta; Magnoliopsida; Malvales; Malvaceae.